RNAcentral lists this ribosomal RNA (443 nucleotides) under uncultured bacterium. RNAcentral describes it as "SSU rRNA". It matches the Rfam family "Bacterial small subunit ribosomal RNA", at positions 26 to 518 of the family's 1533-position model. The record is from RNAcentral.
AGAACGAACGCUGGCGGCAUGCCUAACACAUGCAAGUCGAACGCGUGUAGCGAUACACGAGUGGCGGACGGGUGAGUAACGCGUGGGAACCUGCCCUGGAGUGUGGGAUAACCGAGGGAAACUUCGGCUAAUACCGCAUACGACCUGAGGGUGAAAGAUUUAUCGCUCUAGGAGGGGCCCGCGUCGGAUUAGCUAGUUGGUGGGGUAAAGGCCUACCAAGGCAGUGAUCCGUAGCUGGUCUGAGAGGAUGAUCAGCCACACUGGGACUGAGACACGGCCCAGACUCCUACGGGAGGCAGCAGUGGGGAAUAUUGGACAAUGGGGGCAACCCUGAUCCAGCAAUGCCGCGUGAGUGAUGAAGGCCUUAGGGUUGUAAAGCUCUUUCGCGCGCGACGAUGAUGACGGUAGCGCGAGAAGAGCCCGCUACUCGUGCCAGCAGCCGC